This 65-nucleotide transfer RNA is filed under the name Cordylochernes scorpioides. RNAcentral's name for it is "tRNA-Gly". The record is from RNAcentral. Lineage: Eukaryota; Metazoa; Arthropoda; Arachnida; Pseudoscorpiones; Chernetidae.
UGCUUCGGCCAGGAAUCGAACCCGGGCCGCCCGCGUGGCAGGCGAGCAUUCUACCACUGUGUUGU